GGAGUCACUCCCUGAUCUGGUGACAGGCCCGGUCUUCAAAACCGGUGAGCACGCAGCCUUUCGUUGCGGUUGGCAGGUUCGAUUCCUGUGUGGCUCCG
Molecule: transfer RNA, 98 nt
Filed under: Deltaproteobacteria bacterium
Lineage: Bacteria; Pseudomonadati; Myxococcota; Myxococcia
Description: tRNA-Sec
Rfam family: Selenocysteine transfer RNA
Source: RNAcentral